CUAACUGGAGCCUCCGUAUGUCUCAUUUUCAUCUCUUUCAUAUUAAAAAAUUACAAGGGCACUUAGAUAUCUGGAUCAAGACGGGAACAUUUAAUUAUGGCAGAAACAGCAUACUGUUGAUGAAUGGUUGAUGGUUUUUUUUGGAUUACUAAUGUUCAUCAAUAGCAUAGAUGCUCAUAGAGCACCAAAUAACUUAAUUAGCACUGUAUUAUACACUUGAAAUGUGGGAAGGAAUAACAUUAAUAUAAUAUUUUCUGAAGAAGUUCUAAUAGAUGGUUCUAUAAGUACUAGGCCUAUGAUGAUUUCAUACAGAAUUAAAUAGAGAAAGUAGAUACGGAAUAAGAAGAUGAAAUGCUGGCCGUAAAAACAUAAUAACCAGUUUUCUUUAAUAUCUCAAAUAGGAGUAUGAAGAGAAGAUGAAGG
RNAcentral lists this unclassified non-coding RNA (423 nucleotides) under Hevea brasiliensis (rubber tree). The record is from RNAcentral. Lineage: Eukaryota; Viridiplantae; Streptophyta; Magnoliopsida; Malpighiales; Euphorbiaceae.